RNAcentral lists this ribosomal RNA (465 nucleotides) under uncultured bacterium. RNAcentral's name for it is "bacterial SSU rRNA". It matches the Rfam family "Bacterial small subunit ribosomal RNA", at positions 329 to 792 of the family's 1533-position model. The record is from RNAcentral.
UGCCAGACUCCUACGGGAGGCAGCAGUGAGGAAUAUUGGUCAAUGGCCGGGAGGCUGAACCAGCCAAGUCGCGUGAGGGAAGACGGCCCUACGGGUUGUAAACCUCUUUUGUCAGGGAGCAGGGUGCAGGUCGGGACCUGCUGUGAGAGUACCUGAAGAAAAAGCAUCGGCUAACUCCGUGCCAGCAGCCGCGGUAAUACGGAGGAUGCGAGCGUUAUCCGGAUUUAUUGGGUUUAAAGGGUGCGCAGGCGGAGGCACAAGUCAGCGGUAAAAUUGCGGGGCUCACCCCCGUCGAGCCGUUGAAACUGGCAGACUUGAGUUGGCGAGAAGUACGCGGAAUGCGUGGUGUAGCGGUGAAAUGCAUAGAUAUCACGCAGAACUCCGAUUGCGAAGGCAGCAUACCGGCGCCCAACUGACGCUGAAGCACGAAAGCGUGGGUAUCGAACAGGAUUAGAUACCCCAGUA